Molecule: transfer RNA, 85 nt
Filed under: Felis catus (domestic cat)
Lineage: Eukaryota; Metazoa; Chordata; Mammalia; Carnivora; Felidae
Rfam family: tRNA
About the family: Transfer RNA (tRNA) molecules are approximately 80 nucleotides in length.
Source: Rfam by way of RNAcentral
GCCUGGGUGGCUUAGUCAGUUAGGUGUCUGACUUCGGCUCAGGUCAUGAUCUCGCAGUCUGUGAGUUCAAGCCCCACAUCAGGCU